Molecule: long non-coding RNA, 8138 nt
Organism: Acinonyx jubatus (cheetah)
Lineage: Eukaryota; Metazoa; Chordata; Mammalia; Carnivora; Felidae
Exons: 6
Source: RefSeq, a predicted model, not a curated record
UAUGGACCAUAAUUUCUUAUGGAAAUUUCUUAUGGAAAAUGUGGAAAUAUUUUCUCACCUCCUCUCCCCUCCCAUCCUCUUCCCUUUCCUUCCCUGACUGCAAAUGUGGACCAAGAAACAUCAUUAAUUUUACAAGCAAGGCACCAAUUUUUUCCAGAAAUGUAGAAUUAGAAAAUGUGAGAGCAACAAAGAUAGAUGAAGUAAUGAGAUCCAAAGAGACUGUGCUUUGCCCAAAGUUAAUAUAACUAUUUUCAGAAGAGGGACUAGAACUCAAGCCUUCUAAGUCACCAUCAUUUAUCUUAAUAAUGGCCAAAUUUGUGUUAAGGCAAAUAGUGGUCUCUUGUUGUAUUAAAAUAUUUCUCUGUUUUCCUGGAAAAUAUGCAGAGGUUUCUGAGACUAAGUUUUUAACUUGGAAAUAUUUAUAUGGCUGUCAUUAAGAUGAGUCCAAUAAGAUUUAAUUGUCUAUGCUUUUCCAUAAUGAUAAUUCAUGAGAUAUGUGAUUGCAGAAUUCUAGUUGCAAAAUGAUAUGGCAAAUUAAUGCUUUUAAUAAUUCUCUUUACUUAUUUGUAUGUGUAUAUGUAUGUAUGUGUGUUUGUAUAAGUGGAAAGUAGUUAUUUGAAUACCAGGCUUGGGUAACCAUUGAAGAUAUCAAGUGAAAAGAUUCUCUAACACUUGGAGUUCAGUGAAUCUGUAAGAUAUUUCAUUUAUUGAGGAUGAUUUAUGAUUAUUUCCUAUUACCACAAAAAGCCUCUUAGCCCUAUGGUAUACCUUGAGUUUUCCCAGAAUGGGUUACAGGGAAUGGUAGAAAAUUCUCUAGGCUUUGGAGCCAGAUGGACUUAGGUUUGAACUGAAGCUUUACCACUGAAUAGUUUGUGAGCUUGGGCAACUUGUUGAACCUUUCCGAAGCCAGUUGAUCCUCUGAAUAUGGCAGGAUAAUCUGUUCAUAAACUGACUUGUGUUUCUUCUUGCUAUUUUCCAUCCCAAGAACAUAGGUGGAUGCACUUGUCUCAGAGCAUUAAUGGCUUACUUCAGAAGUUGCAAGGUCCCAAUAUGCUAACCCCUUACUAAGAUUUCUGGAACAUUGAUGAGGGCUGGAACUCGGAGUUGAUGAAGCAGAGGAAAUCUACCCCGGGAAAGAAAAGAGGAAUUCAUUCCUAGAGAUAGGAAAGAUGGUGGUGUUUUUGGGAUGACUCAUAAAGCCUCCCAUGUGUUCUCCUCAGUGUUCUUCUCCCCUCCCAGCGGCUGGACUGUGGAUACCCAAGGGCAAUCUUGAGAUCCAUCUGUUGAACACAGAAGAACCGUUGUCAGCCUGGGCCCUAGACUGUUAACAUUCAUCAAUCAUGCGGUGGGAAAAGGCUCUGUUUUCUAGAGAAAAGACUAGCACUACUGUCUGAUCAUCAACGAGGGGUUUUGUGGCCUUGCGGAGACAGCUCUCAAGACCACGUAACUUCAGGAGAGCGUCAGAGAUUAAAAGGAAAUCAAGGUUUCCACCGAUGGAAACUUUACCGAGCAGGUGUGCGUGUGUGUGUUUGACGAGGAGAAAAGGGCGGGUCCUCCGGAGCUGGCUGCUGGGCUUUACUCACAGGAGAGCGUGAAUGUCACUGAGUUACAUGAGGCUCUGCUCCGGCUUCCUUUUUAAAAACUCUUAAUUUUGGAUCGGCUAAGACCAAAGGCAUAGGGCCUCUGGAGCACAGGCAGAACAAGCUGCUUGGGAUUUAUGCUUUUCUGGUACUCAGUUUGCUUGGGGAGCAGGUGGAGAGGUGAGACUUAUACUAGGAAGUCUUAAUACUCCAAACCUCAUAUCCCCUCUUGUAUUCUGUGUUUUUGACAAGUUGCUAAAAGAAAGAAUCCCAGGCCAGACGGAUGAUCUAAUUGCAAACUGCAUAGGAAAUAGUUUGGGCUUUGGGGUGUAUUAGUUCUACGGAAUAACUCCGAUGUGUUUUCGUUAUCUGUCAAGUUCUUGCUCUGUGUUUAUAGUACAGCACUUUGGAGUUGAGAGAAAUUAGAGGACCCCCUCCCCACUAGAAGGACAUAUCAAAUCCUGCCUCCCCUUUUAUUGCUGCUUUUUCUAACAAAUGUAGCAAAGAGAGUGAAUAUAAAGAACCAAGCUCUUUCUACCUCUUCGUUGCCAAAAAAAGCCCCCCAAAACAAAAAAAAACCCUCAAAAAACAAAAAAUAUCAAACCCAGACACAACAGGUUAGAGAAAAAAAUGUCUACAUGAAAUGGCAUCGGGGCCCUGGGUUCUGGUUUCCUCUGUGACUCUAAUUUUAUUAGAAAAAAAUUGCUGGUGGUCAAACCUACAGACUGCAUUUCUCUGGUGACAACACAGUGAGCACCAAAAUCAGUUUCUUUACCCACCUGAAAUCCAAAGGAAAAAAAAAAAAAGGUGUUUUAUGUGUCCUGGUGAAAAAUAGGAAAUAGUGAUUGGUCAAAAAAGUCCUGGACUCCACAACGUUAUCUGUGGCCGAAUUCUUAAAACAGGAAAAUGGCUCCAAAUAUUCCCCCUACCCCCCCACCCGCCGAUAUUUACCAUCCUGACAAGGCUUUGAUGUCAUUGAUAGAAACAGAGUUCUUAUACAGAGGCCGCGCAUUAUAUUUAUUCCUUUGUAGACGUUAUCUCUGAAUUGGUACCAUCCUGCCAUCGACGAUAGUUGAAGAUUCUGGCUGGGAAAACAAAAUCCUGAUUGUCUAACAUAAAGGUAACAUAUAACACAGAAGGUAAAUAAUAUAAGAGAGCCUGACUGAACCUCCUUUGUUAGUAUGUAUGGGAUUUUAGGUCACAGUGCAUGUGCAUGUAUAAGUAAUAGUCAUAUAUAAUAUUCUCAGAUAUUAUAUGCUUAUUACAUACAUGCACAGUGCUUUCCAAGACAGCUACAAAUUUACACAUGCAUCAGCUAUCUAAAAACAUAGAAAUAGGUAAGCCUAUUAAGUGGAAUUUUCUUAAAUUAUAUUUGAACAAUUAACAGGAAAAGUAAUCAUGUAAAGUACCGCUCUGUUCUUGUACGUAUCUACAAUAAAAUUCUAUAAACAGUUGUCUCCCAAAACAUACCCGAAUAAAAUAAAAUUAAAAAAAAAAGAUAACACCCAGUGUCCUAUAUUUGUAUAUUUAUGGUCAUUUCAAAAACAAACAAAUAAAAGAGCCCCACUCAGGUGCGUAUUUACAUUCUUCAAACUGUAGCGGUGAAAAAUAAUUCUAUUAAGUGCAGGACAUUCCUAAUGUUGCAGUAGUGACAUUUUUCUUAAGUCUUCAUGAACACAUUGCUUUUGUCUUAAUGGUGACGCAUUCCACGACUAGGAGACAGUUCUCUCGUUGCCUUCAUUUGCAGACGGUGGCACAGUCAGGAUUAAAGAGCUCCUUGUACAAUGGAGGAAAGAGUGUAUUCACUAUGUCUGGAUGUGAUUGUUUAAAUACCUGCAGCUUCUCCCCGUGCAAGUUGCAGACCGCCGUGAUGAUUUUUAUGAUAUGAACACGAGAUUCUCGGUUUUGGAAGGCGACGUUGUUAGGAAAGCCACCUUGUGAAGACAGAUGUGAGUAACGUUACCACACACUCGAAAGCAGACUGAAAACCUGCGGUGGGUGCCAUGCAGGAAUGAUCUAGAAGUGGUAAAGAUUAUCCCAGUGUCCACAUAGCUAAAGUCCCUUGGGAAAUCAUCCAAGCUCUCUCAACCAAGUGGUUCACACAGACGGAGACUACAAUUUGGAACACUUCUUAUACAUGACGGUCUCCCUGAAAUAGCUAUUGAAUGCAGGGAGGUUUUGAAAGCUUUCUAUAAUCACCUGCAGUUGAACUGAUGCUAUGCAGAGCUCCUGAAACUUCCAGAUGUGAUUCUAUAAUGACUGCCAACCUUUACUCUGCAUAAGAAUCACUGGGGUGCUUCCUAAAAAUGCAGAUUCCUGGGAUCUACCCCUAGGGACUCUAUUUCAGUAAGUCUGGGUGGAGCUGAGACUCCACGUUUGAAACAAACAUCUCCUGGGAUACUGAUGGACUCGGGCCAUGGAAUGGACAUUAAAAGACACUAUCAUAGGGGCUUCUGGGGGGCUCAGUCAGUUAAGCAUCUGACUCUUGGUUUUGGCUCGGGUCAUGAUCUCACAGUUUCGUGAGUUCGAGCCCCAUGUGGGGCUCUGCUGGCAGCACGGGACCUGCUUGGGAUUCUCUCUCUCCCUCCCUCUUUGCCCCUCCCCCACUUGCACUGUCUGUCUCUCUCAAAAUAAAUACACUUAAAAAAAAAAAACUACUACAGAGGUUCAAAUCAUAUAAAUUUACAACUAAUUUUCAAAAUUGAAAAGUAAAUUCUGUAUCAAACUUGGAACAGUCCUGGGAGCCAAAUGGAAAGUCAGCUCCUUUUCAGGAGGCAGAGACAGAAUCAUCAUUCCCAGAGAAGGGAGGUUCCAUUUGCUUAGCUCUAUUAGUUUGCUGGGGGGACCGGCAAUGGGAUUCCCUGAGUUCCCUAUGACACACAAAUACAACAUAGAGAAGAUUAGCCUAGUGAUAAAACAAAAACAAAAACAAAAACAAAAACAAAAGCUAUGGGUUAGAAAGCCCAACUGUUGGGUUUGAAUCGCGGACCUGCUAUUUACAGCUGUGUGAUCUUGGGCAAGUCAGUUAACUUCUCAGCUUCCUUAUCCAUCAGACAGUCCCUACCUCAGAGGAUUGUUGUCAGGGUUACCUGGGUCAAUCCAAACUGUCUAUAGCGGUGCCUGGCACAUGGUGGCCAUAUACGUGUUAGGUGUUAUGCUUCCGUUUCCACAUAAUGUUUCCUUCAAAGAGAGGAAUAGUCAAGGCUAUGCUCGAUCAGGGGGCAAGAACCCAACAUAACCCUUAACUGAGCACCGAAAGUGGAGUCACGUGUUAAUGUAUGGGGAAAUCAGCCAUUUACUUUUGUUGAAAUGAAAAAGCAACAUCAUAUGGAUGAUCAUUUUUUUGGAGCAAUUAAAGUAACUUGCUGAUCUAAUAAACUGUGAUGUAUAAAGUAGAAGCCUAUAGAAUUUUUUUUUUAAUUUAAUUAAUUUUUUAAAUUUACAUCCAAGUUAGCACAUAGUGCAACAAUGAUUUCAGGAGUAGAUUCCUUAAUGCCCCUUACCCAUUUAGCCCAUCCCCCCUCCCACAAUCCCUCCAGUAACCCUCUGUAGCAUCCUAUAUAAUUCUUAAAACUUUUUUUUUUUCCUUUAGUGAAGGGGAGAUAUGAGAAAUUAGAUGCAUAAGAGGAUGACCCUUCUGUAGUUGCUCAUUUGCACUGGUAAUAUUUAGCUGUGUGUUCGGCUUUGGAAAGUGAAUAUGGACUCUUGCUUCCUUCCUGCUCCAAACUGGGGUUUAAGAAACGUCUGGCUCGGGUCCUAGUUCUUCCGUCUUUUAUGGGAUUUGGAUCUUACCCUGCUGCUCAUCUGUAUAAUGGGCCGGGAUGGUGAGGAUAACUUUUUCUUAAGGGCAAUGGGGCUGCUUUAGCAAAGAGCACCCUAACCUGCGUGCUCUCAGAAGAGGCUGUUUUAGAAGCCUCCAGUCAGCUGUGGAAAUAGAAGUUCUGACAGACAGGGGCAUCCAUCGCUCCGGAGGCGGGAAGGGCCAGGAGGCCAUGUGGACACAGCAGCAGCGCUUGUCAGAGCCCAGAAGGGCCUGGUGGAGGAAGCAGCAGGCAGUCACUUACUUGCUCAUUAAUAUUAUGUACCGCAGCUGGGGGACCCCCAUUUCAAAGGGAGUUUAGAGCAGCCUCCGCAGCAGUUAAUGGCUCAACAACUUUUUAAACAGCUGGGGAGGUGAUCCAGAAGCAUUUGGAGAUGGAGGGGGUAGUCGAUUUCAAAUCAUCAUGAAAUGUCUUCAUGUUUAAAUAAUCCCCAUAGCAGGAGUAGACAGAGGGUCUAGAAAAAGGCAUUUUCCCCCUCCUCUUUCUCUUAUGACCAAGCGUUUCCUAGAAGAUAAGGAAGCUUUAGCUUAUACCUACAGGGGUUGACCAGAAGAAAAAGCGGCUGUUGGAGAAGGGCUAAUAAUCCUAUGCUUCUUUCUAGGGAGUGGUUUUAUGAGAAAAUCCACAAUUUUAUAACUAGUACAUUCGAUAUGGAAAAUGGAACAUGCAGAGGGUAAAACUAGUGAUUUUGUUCAUACGGGCUUCCCGGCCAUUGCAAUGCCCUCCAACCUGAAGCAGGAAGCCAACGAUGGUUUCACCAAAGUGGAAGAAACUUCAAAAUCACUGAUAAACACAGGGCACAUCAAGUGAGGCUAACUAUAUCCAUUUCACUUGCUCACUCGCUUUUCUAUAUUUUUUAUUUUGCUAUUUCCUUAUUUCUUUAUGUUUAGCUAGACCUAGACAUGUGGAUUAGAAUUGGAAUAUCGGAUUUGAAAUAUUCAUCAGGUCAUAAGCCUUCCCUGCCCCUCCUCACCCCAUCCUUGGCAUCCAUGUGGAGCUGGCCAACUAAAGUGGCAGUGGACAUUGAUUCAUCUGCGGUCGAAAUCUGGAAUUGGACCGAGAGCCAGCAGCUUACUUUCUAAAUGUAGCAGAAACUUCCAGUAAGUGAAGAAGCUGAGAGCUAGCUGUAUUUCACUACGCGGACCAGGGAAGCAGACUCAGCUGGUAUUCAGGGAGGGGAGAGAAGAAGGAAAGCUUUCCGAUUCCUCGUUCCAGGGCCACCCUGAAUGGUGGCCGAGUUUUCAUCCUUAGGUUCCACGAGAUCUCUCUCCGUUAUUUUAUUUUUUUCUUUUUGCUUAAGCUAGUGUGAGUUGGUUCCUAUUACUUGUUAUCACAGACUUCUAAGGAAUGCACCAACUUCCAACUUGACGUGUGGGCAGUUGCAUCAAGACAUCUCUUUUCAUUUAUGGACCGUUAGUCUAAUGGAGAACCUCUGGGAUGUCUGGGUCUUAGACAUGUGGCGCACGCCAGCAAACUCUGGAUGGCUAAAAUGGACCAAAAUAAUCUGAUCCUUCACAGGAAUUCUGCAGGGGAACCGCUCAGGAACACCACCAUGUGUCAUCACCACUUUCUCCCUUGCAUCUGGCACAGAGCACAUGCUCCUAAUAAACAUAUGCUGAGGUGGAAAACUACCCCAGAAGAAAGCUGUAUUUCUUGAGUAUGGAUUCAGAAUUUAAAAUCUUGAGCGAUGUGCUGAAUUGCUUUCUAUAGUUUUGUCUAUGCUUGGGUUAUUUUAAAGCAUAAAUACCAUUGUGAGGAAGCCGGAGAAGCCUAAGUAGGCCUUCUGGGGUGCCCGGUUUCACCCGGGGAAGUGGUUAUGUGGGUAUGUUACCUUUGUGAUCGUUCACUGCGCUAUCUACUUAUCAUUUAAGAGCUUUUCAGCAUGUGUUAUACUUUAAAAAGCAUGGGAAUUUUUUUUUAAAUUUUUUUUCUUAAUGUUUUUAUUUAUUUUUGAGACAGAGAGAGACAGAGAAUGAACGGGGGAGUGGCAGAGAGAGAGGGAGACACAGAAUCGGAAGCAGGCUCCAAGCUCUGAGCCAUCAGCACAGAGCCUGAUGCGGGGCUCGAACUCACAGACCGUGAGAUCGUGACCUGAGCCGAAGUUGGACGCUCAACCGACUGAGCCACCCAGGCGCCCCCAUGAGAAUUUUUUUAACGUCCAUUUAUUUCUGAGAGAGAGAGGAAGAAAGAGCAUGCAUGGAGCAAGUGCACAAGCAGGGGAGGGGCAGAGACAGGGAGGGAGAGAGAAUCCCAAGCAGGCUCCGCACUCUCCGUGCAGAGCCCAACAUGGGGCUCAAUCCCACGAACCAUGAGAUCAUGACCUGAGCUGAAAUCAAGAGUUGGAUGCUUAAUCGAGUGAGCCACGCAGGCACCCCAGAAAGCACAGGAAUUUUCAAGUGUGAAACAAAGCCCUAGCCAAAUGGAAAGAGGAAUGAGGAGGCUCAUCAUUUGGGUAGGGGCUCCCAAGUACUUGCUGGACAGACUGCUCUUUAAGAUUAAAGUGACCCCAAAUCCCUAAAGCCACCUAUUAAGAAUUCUAGUAUAACACCUAGUGUCUUCCAAGAAGAAAGCAGACUUUAGAUAGCAACAUCCCAUUAUUAGUCAGGACACAGUCUGUUUUGACCUCAUUGAGAAAACAACGAAGGUCAGUGUAAAUGACGCUGUGCGGUUCUCAUCCAUCUCUCAGUCAGGAUUUGCUCCAUAGACUCUAUCUGUGAAUCAACAUGUUGUUUUUUUU